Molecule: non-coding RNA, 109 nt
Filed under: Symbiodinium sp. CCMP2430
Lineage: Eukaryota; Dinophyceae; Suessiales; Symbiodiniaceae
Source: RNAcentral
AAUUAAGCCAAAUAAGAGAAAGAACAAAGAAGAAAGAAAGACGAAAGGAAAUGUGAGUGAGUUGUCUGUUGUUCCCUUUGUGCUUUCUCUUUCUUUCGCUUCAAUUACA